RNAcentral lists this long non-coding RNA (702 nucleotides) under Homo sapiens (human). RNAcentral's name for it is "HSALNT0072498". Lineage: Eukaryota; Metazoa; Chordata; Mammalia; Primates; Hominidae. The record is from RNAcentral.
UUUCACACAUUGUUGUCUUGCUCCCAACGUUUCCGUUUUAAGUAUAUAAUUUAUAAAGGAGGUUAUUAGAUGUGUGUAUAGUAUAAUCUUCCAGAUUAACAUGUUUAUAGUGGAAAAUUGCUACUGGCAGUGUGGGUUUCGCCUGGUCCGAAUUAUUUUGAGUAAGUCUAGUAACAGACAGACUGCCUUUUGCCUCUCAAAGAGGCAGUGAGGGGUUUUACUUGCUGACAGUUCACAAGAGAGCUGCAGCCGUCAGGAAAGUGCUUCUUCUCAAUAUGAGGAUAAAAAUCCCAGCGUAGAGCUACCAAAUUUUAUCCCACCUCUUGGUUUAUUCUCCACAGUUCUUCGAAUUGCUCCCAAAGACCUGUUUUAGGUGACAUCUUUAAUUUUCUGUUUUGUCUGGGACAAGUUUAGUGGGUAAAAACAAAAACAAAUAGGAAACCGUCUUGAUGGCCACUGCUGAGAAGCCAUGCACUUAUUCACGUGUGUGUUCAUGUCCUCUCAGUCGUCAGUUGUGCAUCCGUUGCUGCAGCUCGUUCCUCACCUGCAUGAGAGAAGAAUGAAGAGAUUCAGAGUGGACGAAGAAUUCCAAAGUCCCUUUGCAAGUCAAAGUCGAGGAUAUUUUUUAUUCAGGCCACGGAAUGGAAGAAGGUCAGCAGGGUUCAUUUAAAAUGGAUCCCAAUGAAGAUACAGAAUGGAAUG